Molecule: ribosomal RNA, 117 nt
Filed under: Triticum aestivum (bread wheat)
Lineage: Eukaryota; Viridiplantae; Streptophyta; Magnoliopsida; Poales; Poaceae
Also listed under: 1 other name
Description: rRNA SSU_rRNA_eukarya
Rfam family: Eukaryotic small subunit ribosomal RNA
Source: RNAcentral
AUAACAAUACCGGGCGCAUUAGUGUCUGGUAAUUGGAAUGAGUCUAAUCUAAAUCCCUUAACGAGGAUCCAUUGGAGGGAAAGUCUAGUGCAGCAGCCGCGUUAAUUAUAGCUCCAA